RNAcentral lists this ribosomal RNA (301 nucleotides) under uncultured bacterium. RNAcentral describes it as "partial 16S ribosomal RNA". It matches the Rfam family "Bacterial small subunit ribosomal RNA", at positions 509 to 807 of the family's 1533-position model. The record is from RNAcentral.
CAGCCGCCACGGUAAUACGAAGGGGGCUAGCGUUGCUCGGAAUUACUGGGCGUAAAGGGCGCGUAGGCGGACAGUUUAGUCGGGGGUGAAAGCCCGGGGCUCAACCUCGGAAUUGCCUUCGAUACUGGCUGUCUUGAGUGUGAGAGAGGUGUGUGGAACUCCGAGUGUAGAGGUGAAAUUCGUAGAUAUUCGGAAGAACACCAGUGGCGAAGGCGACACACUGGCUCACUACUGACGCUGAGGCGCGAAAGCGUGGGGAGCAAACAGGAUUAGAUACCCGCGUAGUCCCUGUCUCUUAUAC